RNAcentral lists this ribosomal RNA (561 nucleotides) under uncultured bacterium. RNAcentral's name for it is "bacterial SSU rRNA". It matches the Rfam family "Bacterial small subunit ribosomal RNA", at positions 338 to 916 of the family's 1533-position model. The record is from RNAcentral.
CCUACGGGAGGCAGCAGUGGGGAAUCUUGCGCAAUGGGCGAAAGCCUGACGCAGCAACGCCGCGUGGGGGACGAAGGCUCUCGGGUUGUAAACCCCUUUCAGCAGGAACGAAAUUGACGGUACCUGCAGAAGAAGCCCCGGCCAACUACGUGCCAGCAGCCGCGGUAAUACGUAGGGGGCGAGCGUUGUCCGGAUUCAUUGGGCGUAAAGAGCUCGUAGGCGGUUUGGUAAGUCGGGUGUGAAAACCCCAGGCUCAACCUGGGGACGCCACCUGAUACUGCCAUGACUUGAGUCUGGUAGGGGAUCACGGAAUUCCUGGUGUAGCGGUGAAAUGCGCAGAUAUCAGGAGGAACACCGGUGGCGAAGGUGGUGAUCUGGGCCAGUACUGACGCUGAGGAGCGAAAGCGUGGGUAGCAAACAGGAUUAGAUACCCUGGUAGUCCACGCCGUAAACGAUGAGUACUAGCUGUCGGAGGUUACCCCCUUCGGUGGCGCAGCUAACGCAUUAAGUACUCCGCCUGGGAAGUACGCUCGCAAGAGUGAAACUCAAAGGAAUUGACGG